AUAAUGAUACUUCAACAGUUUAUGCCGGCUCAUCUUGAAUAAGGGGCGGAGGUGAGAUUCCUAUGU
Regulatory RNA element from Peptoanaerobacter stomatis, 66 nucleotides. It matches the Rfam family "pemK RNA". NCBI's taxonomy places the organism in Bacteria, Bacillati, Bacillota, Clostridia, Peptostreptococcales, Filifactoraceae. The record is from Rfam.